This 474-nucleotide ribosomal RNA is filed under the name uncultured Roseobacter sp. RNAcentral's name for it is "bacterial SSU rRNA". It matches the Rfam family "Bacterial small subunit ribosomal RNA", at positions 377 to 869 of the family's 1533-position model. The record is from RNAcentral. Lineage: Bacteria; Pseudomonadati; Pseudomonadota; Alphaproteobacteria; Rhodobacterales; Roseobacteraceae.
GAAAGCCUGAUCUAGCCAUGCCGCGUGAGUGAUGAAGGUCUUAGGAUCGUAAAGCUCUUUCGCUAGGGAUGAUAAUGACAGUACCUAGUAAAGAAGCCCCGGCUAACUCCGUGCCAGCAGCCGCGGUAAUACGGAGGGGGCUAGCGUUGUUCGGAAUUACUGGGCGUAAAGCGUACGUAGGCGGAUCAGAAAGUAUGGGGUGAAAUCCCAGGGCUUAACCCUGGAACUGCCUCAUAAACUCCUGGUCUUGAGUUCGAGAGAGGUGAGUGGAAUUGCGAGUGUAGAGGUGAAAUUCGUAGAUAUUCGCAGGAACACCAGUGGCGAAGGCGGCUCACUGGCUCGAUACUGACGCUGAGGUACGAAAGUGUGGGGAGCAAACAGGAUUAGAUACCCUGGUAGUCCACACCGUAAACGAUGAAUGCCAGUCGUCGGGCAGUAUACUGUUCGGUGACACACCUAACGGAUUAAGCAUCC